GAAGUGCAAUGGAAGUCAUCACCUCAAGUUGAGCUAUUUGGUGUGGCUGCAACAAGGUACCCUGGGGUACCUGUUGUUGUUGAGGCCAUUGACCCAGUUGUUGUUGUUGAGGUUGUUGGAAAGAACACUGUCCGAGCUGCUUCUGUUGUUGUUGGGGUUGGGAGACACCUUGGACCGACUGUUGGGGUUGUUGCUGCUGAGGUUGGUUCAAACCCUGACCAUGUUGUUGUUCUUGUAGGACGAUCGAGUAGAUGAUGGCACGGAUUGCAUCGUAGCGUGAUUGUUCGGGGAUUUGCGGCAGCUGCCGGCAACAUUGUUGCUGCAUCACAUGGCAACUACUCUGCCACAACAUUUGCGACCUAGCAAGACUUUGUGGCAUUGCCACAGGGCUGCAUUGCUGCUGGAGGAAUACCUUGCAUGGGUUUAGCUGCUGCAAGAUAGAUGGCUGAACAGAUGGUAUUUGUUGUUGCGGUAGAACUGGUUGUUGGUGUUGUGAAAAUGGUGGUUGUUGCAGUAGAAUUGGUUGUUGUUGUUGCUGCGAAAAUGGUGGUUGUUGCUGCUGCUGAGAAAAUGGUGGUUGUUGCUGCGAAAAUGGUGGUUGUUGCGGUAAAAGUGGUUGUUGUUGCUGCGGAAAUUGUUGUUGUUGCUGCGAAAAUGGUGGUUGUUGCGGUAGAAUGGGUUGUUGUUGCUGCGAAAAUGGUGGUUGUUGUUGUGAAAAUGGUGGUUGUUGUUGCUGCGAUAAUGGUGGUUGUUGUUGCUGUGAACAUGGUGGCUGUUGUGGAAAUGGUUGUGGUUGUUGUUGGAUGGGUUGUUGUUGUUGGUACCAUAAUAUUUGUUGUAGUGGUAAUGGUUGUUGUUGCAAUGGUUUCUCCAAGCUAGGGAUGUGGCUAGUCUCCAUUUGUGCAAUGGCACUUGUCGCCGCAACGGCGAGGAGGGCAAAGAUGAGGAAGGUCUUCAUGGUGGAUUGGUGUUAAAUAGUGUUGCUUGGUUUUGAUGCUUGUGCUUGUGAUGAUCAUUAUACUUCAUGCCUAUUUAUAGUAGCCCGUGCACCAUCUCUUUCCUUCUUUGCAUCAGCUUUAAUAAUUGUGUUUGGAUGUUUCUGAAAUGGAUUUUUGGUACAUUAUGGUAGGUUGCACUAGCUAUAAGCGUACUUUUGGAUUGAUCAUCAAAGUUGCUUUUUGGUUGUGCAUAUGAUUAUACACAAAGUACAUGAUGUUUGAAGUAGAUGACUUGCCUUAUUCACUUUACAUGUCACGCAUUUAUCAGGAUAGUAUCACUUCUACACCCGAUUUGGGAAAAAGUACAUAAUCUUUGCUAUAGAUAACUUGCCUUAUUCGCUUUACAUGUCAUGCACUUAUCAGGAUAUUAUCACUUUUACACCCGAUUUUGGAACCUUGUAUAGGGUGUCAGCCUUAAACAAGAAAAGGAAAAACUUGUGUAGGACUAAGUUGCAAUCAUGUGUGGGUUGUUAGGAUAUGCUCCAUUAUUAAAGCCUUACAUGUGGAGGGUUCUUCUAGACUCGAUUGUUUUUUAUAGAACUAACUAUGUAUUGUCCUUUAAGAUGAUAAGAUAAACUGACACCUAUAGAGCAUGACAUGACUCAUCGAAUUCCCUUUACAUGUAAAGGAUUGUAAUUGCUUACAAGUCACUAACAUAUAUCCGGUCCUAACUCUAGACACAUCAUCAUUAGUUUGAUCUUUGUGUUAAGGAUUUUUAUUUGAUCAGAUCAUUCUUUUGGCGGACUAAGUUUGCAAUAUUGUGUAAAUAUUUCACGGGGUGCACCUGGUCUCUUUUACUAAAUCUUUGGGGCAGGAGGUUGAUAUUUAUUUGAAUUGUGUAGAACAUUUACAUAGGUAACCUACUAGAAUUAUUAUAUGUUCAUUAUACUAUGACGACAAACAUAUAUAGUUUGGUUUACUGUGGUUCAUGUUUAGGUGUAUAAGAAUGAAUUUAUGUAUAUCGAGGUACUUUAUCAACCCAAAAUGAAAAAUGCCAAACAUUUUAACAUUUUUCAUCAACAAACCUUUAGAACCCCUAUUCGCGGCUAUCCUCCUAGAUCAUGGACAACCAGCAUAUUUCAUUUGUAGGAUUUUGACAAGGUCUUGAUUCUCUCCCACAUAAAAUGUUCUAGAUUGUUUCAUGGCAACUUGUUUGUGCCCGGAUAUUUUCAAUCUUCUUAUCUAGGCCAUACAUAUGUUUUUCUGUCAUUAAUCUAUUAACUGCUGAAUGAAGAGGUCCCAAAUGAUAAAGAAAAACUAUGUUAGGAGUAUGGGCAUCUCCACCACUUGUUUCAAUAAAACCAGAGGAUUUUAUGAUUAUGAAUUUGGUUCGAAAUAUGUUAAUGAUAUGUGCACUCGAUCUGAGCCAAUAUCCGAUGAAUUGAAAAGUGUUAAAUGGCCCAUGGAUAAAUUUAUAUUUGUUCACAAGUAUCAGAAAUCUGGAAUGGUGACACUACAUAUUCAAUUCAAAUUUGAAAAUACAUCUGAUCCCAGCUACGGAGGUCGCCAUGUGCCUCAAAGGAGUCUCCAUCGCAACUCUGGUCGUCUGCAAUUACACUAGAUGGCAGGCUAGUCUGUCAUCCAUCGUGGGAAUCCGCCGACAGGGCAGGUCAGAGGUCCUGUGGUUGCAACUAGCAGGUUAUUCAUCCAAUCUAUGUCCGUCAGUUAGUGCUCGAUCCUGCAGUAAAUGGUACUUGUAUGGAUAUAUAGUUGCAGAGAGGAAUUUCUUUGACUAGUGUUCGAUCUGAUUGCUAGCUGGAUUGGUGGAGAAAUUGCUACUUCCUCGUGCUAGGGCAGCAGUGGACAAUUAGUACAGACAGACCUGGCAAAAAAAUCCAAUGCGUAUAUUAAGUGGAGAUAGUACUAGAUCUGAUGUCUGCAGGAGAUACUAGUAGAUGUUAUACUGCACACUGGCACAGUAUGAGGUCAUUAUGUUGUUCUGUACAAAGUCUGUCACUUAGAUGUACAUAUAUGAGUGACAACCGCAUAUAUAUUUCUUGCAAAAUCCAUGCUUCCUUGCAGGUGGAAGGCCCUCAUGGUGCCCCCGAGACAGAGCCUGUUCCCUAUUUGGUACGGUGAGUAUUGAAUCGAAACGCAAAAUAUGCACUUAUUGAUUUGUCGAUCUCACAUUAUAUGCAUCUGAUAGGAGAGGUUAUCGUCAGAGGUUGUGGAACAAUCUGAAGGACACUUGUGGUUAAGCAGCAGCAUCAGGUGAGGUGUUCAUGUCAGUCAGUUGGUGGUCAGACUGGCACUUGUUUAAUUUGGAUGGUACAAUUUUCUAUUCACAUUGGUAAAUGCCAAUGGACAAUGACCAGCUUGGAUUCGCAUGUUGAAUUUGGAUGAUACAGGUGAGGAAGAAACUAAAAAAACACUAGUUAUGUGGUCACCUGGAACUCCAGAGUGUUUCUUGGUGCCAUAUAGUCUUGCUUUGCUGCAGUUAUAGACUUUAUAAAUGCCCUGAGCUAUUUUGGCAGCAUCGGUGUCGUUUCAUUGUUGUUUUAGCAGGGGCUUUUGAUAAAAAGAGAAGUGAAAAGAAAAAUAUUACGCACGCCUAGGUUAUGUCAUGAUUGUUAUCGGCUUUGUCGAACUUUGACCUCUGUCUUCUUCAGAUAACUGUAAUGUGAAUUAAUAAUCUCCUUCCACAUUUCCUAGGAUUAUAGAAGUUGGUAUGUUGUCGCAGCUGUGAAGUACUUAUCUUACCAAUUAUAGUGUCGUUACUUAGUUGAGGUGACAAUGUUGGAAUUAUGUGUCCUGCAACUAUAUUCAAAUUACUUGGAAUUGUUAAUAUUCGAAUUGCCUCAUUAUGAAAUUAUACAUGUAUUUAUACAUGGAAUUGCUUUACAUGUUUAGCAUGGAAUUGUUACUUGCUGGAAUGUACUUAAGUAAUAUAUGCUUAAGGAAGCUGGUCAAUUCUCAGUAGAAUAUAAUAUUACUAUUUAUAUUGAAAAUACUACCCGGGAACGCUGAUGAUUUGAAGGAGCUAGAUAGUGUAGUUAGAUUAUAGUCCUAAUGUUGAUCUACAUAAUUAGAGGAAUUUACAUUCUAUUAUGAUGUGUUGCUCACAAGCGCGUGCUCCAGGGACAUAACGGAUAGAAUCUGUUAACAAACAAAUACGAUCGUGGUUGGUAAUUUGAUUUAGACUCUAUCCAGGAAACUAGUUGUAACGACUAGGAAUCUUAUAUGUAUAAGAGGUGGACUCUUUGAAAAGACAGUACAAGAAGGUGCCAUCUCUAGUCCAGAUAUGCGAAUUGUGAGCGGCGCCAUGGAUAAAUAGACCACAAACCCUAAAUUUCUAACAGACAAGACGUUGAAAUUUUAUCUUGUGUUCGGAUAGCAUUAUUUGAAACCGUGAGUUGUCUGUUUCUGUACUGAUGGCACCCCAAAAGUGCUGGUUACUGGGGAGGUGUAUGCGGCAUGCCGAAUCAUUCUUCCUCGGGAGGCCCUAAAGCUUCAACUUGUUGAGAAACUGUCUGCACUCUGCAGUUUGGAACCUUACGGAAGGAUGCUGUGAAUUUCAUGGAUAGUGGGCUUCCCUGAUGGCUGCUCUGCUACUGCUAGCUUACGGAAUGGCUUCUACAACUGAACUGUACUGCAGUCGCUCUUGACUGAGAAUUGUUGGGGCCCGCGGUGUAGGGUGACUGCUUGGCGUUGAGUUGAGCUGCAACGCUGAAUCAAACCCUGGACGACACAAACGAUCUGAUCUAGAUUUGGUUUGAUGCUCGUCCUUUGGGUUGGUACCCAUGACAGGCACGGGUCGCCAGCAGUUUACUAUCAUCCAUGGUUCUUUAGCCCUGUGGUGUUCUACUUAUCUGAAAAACUUCUUGUUUUUGAAAUGUCAACUGGGGUAUAUAUAUUUUUCAAAAACAGGAAGUCAUCAGUUUGUGAUCAUACAGCAGAGGUGAAGAGAGGGGCAGAGGGCCAGGCAGUUACACAUAGAUUACAAUAUACAGACAGCAGCCAGGCGGGGUGUCAGCGAGCAGGGUUGCUAGAAUGAGCUGAAUUGCCUCUUUUUUCUACCGAACCUGAAGAUUUGUGCCUAACAUUGAAAAGGUUCCAUAUGACGAUGCAAUCCAAAUUGCCUUUUCGAUCGACUACUCUCAUAUGUAGUAGGUUAUACCAAUGACAACAACAGCAGAUUUAUAUCCCACAAAAAACAUGCAGCAGCAGUGCAGCUGAAGCUAAAAUAUAUAUGUUGGUUACUGAAGCUAAGUCGUAAGCACUUUUCACGGUGAUGAUCCAGGCUUUUCCUUGUUUCCACAUAAUUACCUGAGUUCAAUGAUCUGCAUUUCUCAGGUAUCGCUUGUUUCAUACAUCGAAUGCUAUUUAUCGGCCUAUCCAUGCAAUUUGAAAAUUCACUGCUGAAUGUCGGUUGUGUUCUGCGAAUAAGUGAAUGGUGGUGGUUAUUUGAAACCUAUGCCCAAUUGUGGUGGUUACUUGCAAUAUACUCCUAGAGCUUAAAGCACACGUUUUGGGCAGUAAGUCAGAUAUAUGCAUUAUAGUUUCUUUCUUGAAAGCUAUGUGUUAUGUGACACUGAUCAGACUACUAGUUCUGGAAACAAAUACAUGUGCAGAUGCCAUGCCAGCUUAUGCAAGUUGGUUAACAUUUUUGAAAAAUGAGUGGCUGUGUGCAUCACACAUAGGCCUGGAUUUAACCUCCUUUCCCGGGGGAAAAGGCAAGUUACUUAAUAGUUACAAUCAGGUUAAGUAACUGAAGAAAUUAAGCAGUUGACCCAAAUGCAGCUUUCAGGCUGCCCCAAGCAACAUUAAACUGGGCUUGUGUAAAAUAUUAGUGCAGUUUAUGGUCAGAUGGCCUUGUCGAGAUCGAUGAUGGAUAUUUUAUUUUGGUUGUAUGUUUCGAUCUAAUCCAUAACUGAUGAUACUACAUGCAACUAGGACACGAGUGAAUAAUCUACUUAAGAGCUGCAUCAUGAAGGGAAAACAAGUAAGCUAAGUACAUGGAUUAGAGCAUCUGCACACAUCUCAAGUGGUUGACUUAAGACUGAUUAACAAGCUUAUGUUGUUUCUUACUGAAGCUAGAGCAGACUUGUAUUUCAAGGAAGCGAGAAUGUAUAUAAGUCUUGCUCACGUCUCCUUCCCCUCUCUUGUACCUAUAACUAUCUAUCUCUCCAUUACCAGAUCAUCAGUAUUUACUUGUAUGACGGCAAAAAAUAAUAACAAGAAAAAUUUCACUGCAGAACCUCCUUCAGGCACAAAAUAAUGACCCGAGGAAUAACAAAGUUGGUUUCAAUGAAAGUAAUUAUCGAAGGAGGUUUCAAUACCCAAUGAAUUUAUGUAUGAUUGACUAAUGGUCCUACCUUUUCCAUAAUAUGUUGCUGGUUUUCCUUGAUAAUUGUUUGGAAAGCGUUGAAUUUAGCAUGUUUUAAUCACAAGUGGCCUUCUGAUCCGUCUGUUAUCAUGUUUAGGGUAGCUUACUGGAAUAAUGAUUGGAGUUCCCUGUAGGUGAUGGAGGACGCAAAACGAGCGCUACGACGGGACGCAGGACUUCUGGAAUGAGUCACAACUAAAGUUUUUCAAGCCAGAAAAAGCUUGGUGCCAUGGAUUCCCCGGCUGGAAGAUGGGACUUGAAUUUGGGAUUGUGUCUAUUCCAUUAGUGGUGUUGUCCUGGUUAAUAGCUGGGUGUUGGCAUCGGCAUGUUCAUUGUAAAACACUGUGUAUUUUCGUGUCUUCGUUGUGUUGGUUGUUCCCCUACUCUGUUGCUCAGCUAGGGUUGCAAGGAGGGAUGCCUUAAAAACUUAAUUCCGUGUCCGUGUUGUGUUGGUGGUGGUUGCGUUUUGGUUGUAAAAACCACUUGGUUUCAUUAAUGAAACUGAUAAAAAAAAGUAAGCAUAAACCUUUCAGUGGAAUAUCCAAAAAAGUCCAGGCCAACUGUUUUGAGAGAACAUUUUGCAAUAAGAAAAUUUAGUAGCUACAAUCAGAAUAGAAAUGUUCUUAUCUGAUUCACAUGUUAUCCAUUUGUUCUCUUGUGUUUAAGUGAGUAAUUGCACCAAUUUCGAACAUACAAUAGGUCGUCAAUGUAGCUCAUAUGAAGUGUGCAAUAAGUAAUGAUCCGUGGUAUGGGAGUAUACUCUUCAUAUUCACAUUGACUACACAAACCAAACUUUAUUAUCAGAUCCACACUGACAAGAUAUGAUCCCAAACACACAACCAAACAUAUAUCAUAACUAUAACAAACAAAUGGACAUGGAUUUUUGAAUUAAUAGAAUAUCCCAGGCUAAAAAUCCACAGAUUACUUGAAAAGGAAAAAAUUGACAAAGCUUGUACAGUUCCUUUCAUAGCUACCCGUAUAUGGGUAGCUACAGCCCACCUAGUUUUUGAACAUAUUAUUGGAUGGUGGCGCCAGAUGUAGUGUCCUGCAAAAAAAAGGUAUAAUCAACAUGGCUACAUACCAAGAAACCAAUCAUUAAGGUACUGAUGGAAAUUUGUCAGGAAAAUGUAACAAUCAUAAUGCCAGAUGACUAAAACUAGCUUUGAAAUUUAUAGGCUUAUUUGUUACAUAACCUUAACUACGUCCAAUUGUCAAUACCAUGACGUUUAAAUUUCUUUCAGCUGGACAAGAUAUACAUGCUAGAAACACGAAGAAAAAUAUAUACAGAUUAAGUAGUUGAAUGUAUGUACUUACAGAAGCUUUGACGUAGAAUGCAUGGAUAUUGAGUUCUUUAAUAGUUUGGAACGUAGGGGGGUUGGUGAGUGCGUAAUACUUGAUGAUCCCACGUGCCAUAGCAAACUCUCCAGUCCCACCCAUAAUGGCCAUCUGGCCUUGGCCUGUUUGAAAAUUGAUCCCCAUCGCUUCGAAUGAUGAUCCAUUGUACCUGAUAUAGUUUUAUAGGGCAAUAUCACAUAUCAUAUGAAACUGGAAAAUCUUUAGUAUUUGAGAUCUUUGUAACAAACCAUAUAUGCUAUAUAACCGGGAAAACUAAAACUUGUACUAGUCCAAAAGUAUAUAAAAAUGACCUAGAGUUCUUCUCGAACACCAUGCUGAAGUAGUUGAACCAGCCUGGACCGGCUACAUCAGCCUGCACUUGCAUGCCUUUGGUACGGGCAACAAUGGUGGCAGUAGCGGGGUUUGGUCCAUCAAUCACAGUCCAGUCGGUAACUGCAGUUAGACCAAACUCUGAUGGUUUGCUGGAGGUAACAAUUGCUACCUGGUUGAUGCCUGGUCCGGCGGCGAUUUGGUGCAAGUACAAGCGCAUGUUAACCUCGGACUCACACUGAAGAACACAGGAUAGGGAUGCAGAUGCCAUGGAUAGAAUGGAAUGCAGGAUUAGGAUCAUGGACAGGACUAAAAGGCUAGGGCUAGCCAUUUCUAGCUAGGAUUUUGGCUGGCUGAAGAAGAUGGUAGCUAGGAGGUGUGUCCGUAAACUGACUCUUUCCUUUGUCGAGUGUGUUAGCUGUGUGAGAGACACUUGAGUCUAGGGUACUAUUUGUAGUGCUCCAGAACUAGCUAGCAUAUUCGUUCCAUAUCCUCUUUUUUCAUUUCUCUUUGGGAUGAUCCAUUUCAUAUCCUUUUUAGUUUCUUUUUUUUUCAACUGUCAUUUCAGUUAGGAUAGACAACUACACAUGUGUGACUGAUUCCUUGUACAUCUAUCAACCCUCGGAGAUCACAAAGGUCAAGUGCCUUUUGAGGAACUACCCUUUUUUCCUUGAAAUACAAUGUGUACAUGGUAAUGCAGCAUUGACAAAGACUAAAAUGAAUUAGACGCCCAUUCUUAUCUUUACAUCUAAUUGUAUCUCCGGAUGAGCAGCAGCCUAGAUUUUCCACCUGGACAACGAGCACACUGUCACUACUCCUACAAUACAAAGUUCAAAUACAAGGAUUCAUCGCCGUUGAAUCUGUGAAUCGAUGCGCCGCUCCCCCGCUCCCCCGCUGGGGAAUCGGGUAAAAGGCCGCUCCCCCGCUCCCUAGGGUUUCCCCGCCGCCGCCGGCGGCUCCCCCGCGCGGAGCCGCCGCCGCGGCGGCCGGAGACCGCCGGAGCCGCCAGCCCCCUCCUCUCCCCGUUCCCCUUCUCCUCCCCCCACCCCUCCUCCGCGCCCCCGUACCCCCGCGCCGCCUCCCCGAGCGAGGCGGCCGGGGGCCCUUCCUCCGUGCGCCUCCAGCCCCUCCCCACGCCCAUCCCUCCUCCCGCCGCCGUCAGCCUACGCCGCCGGUCCUCAGCCGCGUGAUGCUGGCGGCGGUGGGCUUGCCCUUCCCCGCUCGCGGUCCUCCCCUGCUCGGGCGAUGAUGGCCGGAGGCGGUGCGCCUUGGCCGGUGGUGGUCCGGCGUCCUUGUUGGAGGCCGGCGGUGCUCGCCGUGGUGGUGCCGCCUCUUGGCGGCGGGGUGGUCCGGUGGUGCUGGCCGGCUGGGGGCGUGUCCCCGGCCCAGAUCUGGGCCCGUAGGGUCCCUUCCGGGUCCUUGCGGGUUGGCUCCGGCGCGACCGUGACGCUCUCUGUAUGGGGAGGCAGGGGAGCGGCUUGGAUUGGGACAGCGACACAGAUGGUGUUCCAGCUGCUGCGCGGAGGCGGGAGCUGUCCGGGCCUUUGACGGCCCGGCCGGGCCUAUGGGGCCACGGGCCCGGUAGGCUCCUGCCAUGGCGUCCGGUCGGCUACCGUCGUGGACGGUGGAGGUGGGGCCCUCCCGUAUGCCAACGGUGUUGUUGCCCUAGUCCCGGCUCCUCUUCUCCGUUGUGCAGACCAUCUUCGUGGUGCCGUGGUGAGACAGCGUGGGAAGCUUCAUGUCCGUGUUGGCGCAGGGUGGUGGCCGGUCUGGUGGCGAGCUCCGGAGUGCCUGAGGUAGAGGCUGGGAUCGGGAGAAAUCUCUGUUGGCUUGGUCAACACCGACGUGGUGGCGUCUGAGGGUGCCGCCGGACCUUCCUUGAGGGCGUCGGGGCUACCCUUCCUCUCUCCUCGUCGUGUACCGGGGGAAACCCUUGGCAGCAGCGUCGUCAUCGUCGCGUCCCUUCUUGGAGGUGUUGUUGGGUACCGGCACUUCGGAGUCUCGGAGCUUGGUGGGCGAUCUCCGGUGGGCGCAGCGGUCACGAGGCUUCGUCGUUUUUGUCGAUCCACCAUUAUCGGCAUUUGUUUCUUUUCUUUUUUCUCUUUCCAUUCUUUUGGGCAUGUUUGUGCUGCUUCCGCCCCAGCCCCUAUCGUCGGUUGUAUUGGUUGAUUGCUUUGUAAUACAAAGCGGGGGGAAACCCCUUUUCUCAAAUCCAAGGAUUCGUGCUGCUUGUAAGUUAGAUACAUAGUUCAUCAAAUGACAUUUAAUUAUCUGGCUCAGUUUAUAGCUGCGAUUGGAGAUGCAACCCCCCACCCAUGGAACCCAGGUCAAAAGCUUUCCUUUCACCUCUUCUUUCCGCCGCCACCGACGUCGCUGCUCUUGUUGGGGCAGACUUGAUGCCAAAGACAGGAGGAAGCGGCCUUGGCAACAUCGCUGGUCUUGUUGAGGCAGCCUUGAUGCCAAAGACAGGAGGAAGCCGCCACACAACACUUCAGUUUGGUGGUGCUCUUCAAAUACCGGAUCUCGAUUUCCAGAGGGGAAACUCUAGCUCAGGCCUUCAUUCACUGUACGUUGGAAUGGCGAUGUUUCGACAUUGUUCCCUUGUUGAAGACAUUGUCUUGAGAUUGCUCGGAAGUCCUAUUCAGGGUGAAAACUCAUGAUCUAGCCUCUAUUAGAUUGGUGACAACAGUGAUCAUCCCUUUCCUAGAGGUGUCGUUGUUGGAGAUCCUUUCUCAUAGUUCGGGUAGUUCCAUUAGCGCAGGUUGGUGUUGGCCACUGAUGCAUGCCAUUGAUUGCUUCAACAUGAAUUUUGUAUGUCCUGUCUUUUUUUAAUAAUUUGGAUGUGUGCAACCCUGAUGGCUGGAUUAGCACAUUGCUUCUUGUAGAGGCUGCAGGGUGGAUGGGAGUGGGGCCGGGGGCAGUGGUGCCGACCGAAAACUAGCAAAUUUACUAUCAUCUUGAUUAACAUAUUUUUAGCGGUUUGUUCCUUGCAAAAAAAGACUAUCAAUGUAUCAAUUAUGCAAGCUAGUUUAAGACCAUUCACAAAUUAUUAUCAAAUGGUUCUAUUAAUGUCAACUGCAUUCAGGAGUCAUGCAUGACGUCAACCAUGUCAAAUUAUUGAAGGUUUAACCUCUGGCUUAGAAACAAAACUUAUGCGUACCAUAGGCCUGCAAAAAUUAAACCACUGUACAUGACAACCACACAAAUAUAAUACCUAGUGGGCAACCUCCGUACGACAACCACAGAAAUAUAAUACUUUUGACAAGUUUAUCAAUGCUACUUGCGUGUUGUCUAAUAAGUAGUGACCUUCAUAAGGAAUUGCGUCGAUCCAAGGAUAACAUCUUAAUUAGCAUACUACUAAGAUUCGAAGACAUAUACUCUUGAAAGUCAGUUGUGCCAUUAGUCAGAUGUGUAUACAGUAUACAAUCCAAUUGUAUGUAUAUGUAUGUCAGUAUGUGUGCUCAUCAACGGUUCACCAUGUUUUGAAGCAACCCAGUCAUCAGUAUGACCGAGUGUUCAGAUAUAUCCAGUAUACAUGCAUUCACGAGUGCUCUUAUUGCUUGUGUGUAACCCAUGUGGUGUGUUUGUUGAUGUAACUUCAUCAAAUAUGCAUCUAUAAUUGAAGGGAGAACCUAUCCUUCAAUUAUGGAUUAGUCGAUUUUCCUAGCCUACUGUUUAUCUUUUUCGCCCACCCUUCUCCACUUCUUUGACCCGUUCCCAACCGUCUGCCAAGCCGUCUGCUAUCUGUGGUGCCGCCAGCCACGCCGUCCGCCGUCGGUGGUGCUUCCGCGUGUGCCCCGGAGCCCUGCCCUGCUCAGUUUGAGCCGCCAUCUCUGCCAUCCCUCUGCACCCUGGCCAUCCCUACAAACCUCCCCACAGUCCCUGGNNNNNNNNNNNNNNNNNNNNNNNNNNNNNNNNNNNNNNNNNNNNNNNNNNNNNNNNNNNNNNNNNNNNNNNNNNNNNNNNNNNNNNNNNNNNNNNNNNNNNNNNNNNNNNNNNNNNNNNNNNNNNNNNNNNNNNNNNNNNNNNNNNNNNNNNNNNNNNNNNNNNNNNNNNNNNNNNNNNNNNNNNNNNNNNNNNNNNNNNNNNNNNNNNNNNNNNNNNNNNNNNNNNNNNNNNNNNNNNNNNNNNNNNNNNNNNNNNNNNNNNNNNNNNNNNNNNNNNNNNNNNNNNNNNNNNNNNNNNNNNNNNNNNNNNNNNNNNNNNNNNNNNNNNNNNNNNNNNNNNNNNNNNNNNNNNNNNNNNNNNNNNNAACCUGUCAAGCCAUUUUCCUCUCCUCCGUCUGCGACCGUGCGGCUAGUCACGACAUCCCGUCUCGUGCUCGAUGUUGCGGUGUGUUGCUCUCUGCAAACCGAGUUGGAUGACGCGAGGAAAAGAAUCAAGACUGAGUAAUAGAAAUUUCCAUGAUUGAAUAUUUCAGUUUGGCAAAACUUUUCAUACAUUUCUAUGGAUUUUCACUGUCAUAGAAACAAAAAAACGUAACAAGGAAAGAAGACGAUGUCCCUUCAUAGGAUUGCAUGGAGGUAACAGAGAUCCAUGUCUUGAAAACGUGGGAAAGAAAGGAGCACGCAAUUGAAAACAAACACCUCAUAAAACUUACACUAGUGCAUACUACGUCGUAAGAACAUCUACAACCGAACCCAAAUGUGACCCCUACACGUCCGUGGAUGCGUCCACAGACAGCGACCGGUCACCCCUUAUAUCUCCGCGUCCUCUUCCGUCCCCCUCAAAUCCAUGCUAACAACAAAACGUCAUCAACAUUUUAUGUAGAAACAAUUUGAACAUAGCAGUAUAAAAACAUAUAUAUUGGGAAUGGCAAGUUUCAUACAAUCGGACACAAAAUGUCCAUCAUCACCUAGAUAUGAUAAGCCUAAACAAUAGAUAAACUCCUACAUGUAGGCGUUGGCUGUCGGAGGGGAUUUGUCGUUGUCCUCGCUCAUCAUGCCGCUGACAUAGGACAGCAUCGAGGAGAUGAUCCCGACCAGACGCCGGACGGCGCAGGCCUGCUCCUUGGUGAGUCGGGCGGCUCUCGUGAGGUUCCUGAAAUCGUCGAUGUCGAGCCAGAGAGCCUUUGCAGUUUUCCUACGUCGGGCAUCCAUCUCUGCUGAUGUCAAUUUUCAGAGGCUGACAUCACGGAGGAGCUCCUCCUCCAGGUCAACCAGCGUGGACCUACAGAAUUCGCAGACACUGCAGGAGGAACCAGCAUUCUCACAGACCUACUGCCUAGCACGGCCGGCUCGCGCCUCUCAUUUGUACGUCCUCCUUGAAAGCUCGUGGUGCGGGAACAAGCAUCCUGCUCCAACCGGGAGGAGCGGAGCCCAAAGUGGUAGAGUAGGGUCACAAAGGGCGAUGGAUCUGGACCGGUGCAAACCGCGACGGGCUGCAUUGCCUCGUCGGCCAACGGGAUAGAAGGCAGAGCUCAAAUUCCUACCCCUGUCCAUCCAUGACCGGCGGAGCGAGGCGCAUGCAAAGGGCGAGUUCUCCUCAUCAUCCAGAUCCGAUUGCGGCAAGGCAUCCCAGUCGAUGGGCUUCGCCUCGUUGCUGGAUCCGCCACUGAAAUCGCUGCCAGAAUCAACCCAUAUGGUAGCCUGAGAAGAGGAAGCAAUGGAGAUGGGAGCGAACAUGACUGGAGUGGAAGGGGAGAGAAGAAGCCAGCACUGAGCUAUGUUUGCACCCUAGUGGAGAUGGGUCGGGCGAGCACGAACGGGUCCAAUAUGACGGCCGCGUCAGGGAGUGUCGAUCUACCCCAGACGAUAGGGCUAACUAUGUGGGGUCCGGUUGGGUGGCAAUUAUGGGCUGAGUAGUGACCGGGCUGUCCGCCCAUACGUUUGGGAGGAUAUGAGUGCUCCUUUGUACAUGCUUUAAAUCUGGGCAUGAGAAGCCGCACCUGCCGGUGCCUAUGCUGGGCUUGUCCCUCUUAGCUGGAAAGCCCCAAAAAGUCAAGGACCUUAUUUUUGGGAUUUUAUAUGAGAAAUAGGUAUGGUAUUGUAUCAAUUUGUCCUAAAAUAAUUCUUUUAUUAUAUUUAAAUAAAAAUAUAGCCAUUUUCGUGGCCAAGCGAGGUGGGAUAAGACCCGGGCUCGGAAUUUUCAGGCCGGGAUCUAGCAGGUCCGUCAGUUUUAAUCAAUUUAUUUCUUUUUCAGUUCUAAGCUGUUUUAAGUACCUGGUCAGCAAUCUCUAACCAAUGAUAAGAUAACAAGACUAGGCCUACUAUCAAUUUUCAUAGUCAAUUGUGUCCCUGGUCACAUUACUCCAAUCCAUCUAUAUUUAUGCGUGCUCAUAACCAGUUCACCUUGUUUGAAAUAAGCCCAGUUAUGUUUCCUUUUUGCAAGAAAGUACCGCAUUUAUAUUAAAUGACUUCCAACAUCCCGGAAAACAGAUCGUCGACGUGGUCCAGUGCAUCACAGGUGGCAACAAUGAACUGAAAGAAAUUGCGAAAUUUAAGGUAGUUGUUAGUGGCAGGAUCUAGUUUGAAGGUGAUCUAGGAAUGGAUGUUGGUUUUAUGGACGGUAUGGGGGCCUAGAGUUAGGAAAAAGGAUUGAGAGGGUAAUAGAGAGAGCACCAGCUACAGUAUUGAGGGCACCAUGGAGCUGAGAAACUGGGAGAGGUUUAACACCCUCUGGUUCUGAAGAAGAAGAAAAAUAAUACCACAAGCCUGCAAAGUAAACCAACAUAUAGAAUUAAGAAGCAAUUUAACAAUACUUAGUGGGCAAUCUCCGUGACAACCAUCAAAAUAUUGCUAUGCUGUUAAGGAAUUAUUUCUUUGAAUAAGCUUGGUACUAGUUGUAAUAGUUGCAUGUUGUCUAAUAUGUGACGUUAGUAAGGAAUUGCGUCAAGCAAAUUAUAGCAUCUUAAUUAUCAUAUUACCAAGACCUGAAGAUAUAUACAACCUUGAAGCCUUAAGAGCUAGAGCCAUUGCCUAUUUUUUCUUAGAAAUUGGGCCAACCCUGUCGCGUACGGAUUUAUUUAGUAGUAAUUAUUCUGUAUAUUUUCAUGGAUAUAUAGGAAUAGGCAGUGUAUAUGUGGAGUGCACACAAUCUUGUUCAACUUUUCUUUGCUGGAAGUAAGCUGUUUUAAGUACUUGGUCAGUAAUCACAAAUCAAUGAUAAGAUCGUAAGACUGGGCCUACUAAUAUAAUCCCUCCGUCCCAAAAUUCUUGUCUUAUAUUUGUCUAGAUACGGAUGUAUCUAAUACUAAAAUGUGACUUGAUACAACCGUAUUUAGACAAAUCUAAGACAAGAAUUUUGGGACAGGGGAGUACUUUCAAAGUCAACUGCGGCCGCUAGUCAGAUGUGUACCACAAGACAGUUACAUAUAUCAUGCUCAGCACGAGUUCACAUUGUUUUAAAAGCAACCCAGACAUAAGUAUGAGUGUUAGUUCAAACAUAUUUGUAAAAGAACACUCGUUUAUACACUUUAGGAGUUAAUACAUUCAUGAGUGGUUUUUUCAUCAUGUAACUGGCACGGAGUGUUACUGAAUAUAACUUUAUUAUUUAUUACAUUUCUUAGGAUUCUUCCUAUCAUGAAACUAGCGGUACUGCCUGCUCAGUUGCGCGGCAAGAUUUUGAUUUGUCAUUUUAAAUUUGGAAACUAUAUUUUGGCAUUUUAAAUAUUUCUUAACACUUUGUAAAUAUGCAUUCUUGUAAUUACCUAAUUGCGAAUGAGGAAUUCAUCAGCAAAGGAAUGCCAAGAAAUAGUCGGUCCCACAAAAAAGGCUGAAAUUAAGUGUUUUUACUAAAAGACAUUCAAUUAGAACAUAUCAUGUAAGAAGGCCUAAAUUCAUCCAUACAUACGCAUUAAGUAUACUUGUGGGGUUAACAAUUUUAAGCAUGUAUACAUGUACAUCUAUUAUCUAUUAUAUAAUUAAGACAAGAGGCAAACAAGCCAUCACGUUCGUCCACAUAUGAUAAUAUUUUGUACACCGUUUCAUUAGAAUAAUAACGGUUGAGAUUUAAAGAUUCUUACGUAACAUCGUAAAAUAGAUGUGCCAGUACAAUUGAACUGUCAUGUUGUCAUGUUAUAUGCAUGUAUAAGCAUUAGGUAUGUAAAAAGAAGAAAAAAAGAGUAAAAAGACAUAUUGGUUUGUCGCGUUACAUGUACCGUCACGUAAAAGAGAUGGACACAGAAGGGUGCAAAUAACCAUGACGUGCACACAUGUACAUACAUGAAUAAGAGUUCUAGGAAAACUAAAGAUGAAAGUAGGGUCACGUGAGAAUUAGAAAGGGAAACCUAGGGGACGAAACUAGAACGUGAAGGCAGACUUCAACUUGGACACGUACAUGUUCUCAAAAAAAAAAAACUUGGACAUGUGCAUGUAACGGAGAAAAAAGCUUUGCAUGAAGGGUAUUCACUGGAAAAGAAUAUGCAUAUGUAAAUCUACCAACUUACAAGGAAACAUACUAAAAAGUCUAGCGUUCUAACGCAUAGCAUAAAAACCUUAUACUCUAUACUGUUACACAACAAAAAAUCAGCUAUUAGGCUCAAAUUAAAAUUUAACCGGUAGAACUGCACAUGCAAUUCAAACUAAAUAUAUUAUUGGUAAUUAGUCAUUCGCUAAUUUAUGAGAAGACGCUGCAAGACAACAAUAUAUUACCGAUUUUAUAUGAAUAUACACCAAUAGUUUUUUUUAAAAUAUACACCAACAGUUCUUAGCCUUAUAUGGUCAGGCUACAUAAACAAUUAGAGUACGAGGACUUUGUCAAGAACAUUUAGAAGCAUGUGUCGAAAGCCGAUAUCGAUGAUACUGCACUAUCUAUAAAAGGAAUGCACAACAAAUAGAGGUACACAACAUAAAUCUUACAUAUUUAAUUGAUGAUGAAAUGAUUUGGCGUGGUAAGAAUCUAAGAUAGGUGUAAUUGGUCACCUUUCGUCGGGCAUCGGUGGAUGUCGAAAGGAUUUCAACCUAAAAGACACACAUUUCAAGUAUAAUAUUUUUUGUAUUUAAAAAUCACAUAUCAGUGGCAAUGUGGCAUUCGACUUAACAUUUAUGUGUUGGAGGAAAUAGCGACUAACCAAGAGCAGUAGAAAUGUGGAAUUUGAUUAGUGUUAUGGGACAAGCGGCUAGCUUGGUAAGCUACCAACAAAAAAUUGCAAUCAAUGAUUAGUGUUAUGGAAUUAUAUGGCUUAGUAUUGUAAGGUGCUGAUCUCCAUGACAUAGCACACUUGAAAGAAGUAUUGUUAAACUGACGAUUCCAAGGUCUUAUGGCUUUCUCGGAGAUGCACAUUUUGGUCAUACGUUACUAUAUAAUAUAAAAGUUGGUGUUGAAAACAAUACUACAUAACAAUUAGACUCGAAUGAAUGAUAGAGAAUAUUUUACCAAAAGAAGAAAUCAAGCAUUAAUUAAGGAAAAAUCUGUGUCCUGCCUUUUUUUUGUUUUGAAAUCCGGUUAUAUUCAAAUAACUGGGCAGUGGGCACCAUUAGAACUGAACAAGCCCUGGACAGCCCAAGCGAGAAUAUUGUAUCAACUUUAACCAUGAAGUGGCUUUGAUAGUUACCUCACAAUGAGAAGAUGUACAAGCAUAUAAACGUAUAUAUGGAUAUAUGACAUGUAUUUAUAAGAACACAUGUGCAUAAACAGACGGUGUAUUGCUACAAGCCAACAAUUAAUGUUUAGAUUUUAUUGACAAAAAUUCUACAAGAAUAUUUGGUGAAAAGAUAAAUGAAAAUGGAUUUGAGAAGGUGGAAUAGUGAAAGCCACGUAUUAGUACAAAAUCAUAUGGUUUUCCAUGGUGGGACACAUGCCUUGGUUCUGUCUAUCUUUGAUUGCCAUAAUAACCCAGUCUGUACCAACAUCUUUAUACAUAUUACAAAAAUAUACGAUGUGAACUUUGGUGAUGAUUUAUAUAGAUAUAAAAAAAAUGUAAUUGGUUAUAUAAAUAUUUAUAUAAUGACAGAUCAAAUAAAAGAAGAUACAUAGAGAAAUAACAGCACAAAACAUAUAAUAUAAAUAAAGGAAGUCUAGCCGCGCAAACGCGCGGGUCACUAUAUAUAAAAUAGCUGGGCAACUAAGUUUUGGUGAACUUAUUGUGGAAGUACAUGUCGUCCCACGUUAUAUGAAGUGUGUGGUCGUUCUUGUCAUUAAGUAAGGAUACCCAUUCAGAGCAGGAUGCUUUAUGGCUAAGCUCCUAUAUUACUGCCGGCCCAAGUUGAUGACAGAGAAACUCCUGAUCAAACAAGCUGAUAUACGGGAGCACAUCACCUUGUCGAUGCUAUGGAGGAACUUGACGCCGAGACCGCGAUUAGUCAUCGCUUGAUCAAUAUCUGCGAGGAACUUGAGCUGCUACCCAUACUUGGUGACAGACAUGGUGCUCUCCUUGAGCAUGUGGUACUUGACGCUAAGACUGAUGAUGUGUGCGGAGUUAUUGUUGAGGAAGUACUGGUGGAGGCGAUUCCAUGCCGACAAGGCAAUGCCGUCAUUGGACAUCGCAAGUCCAGAAGACCAUCGUCGAUCAUGGUAUAGACCCACAACAUGAUCCUGAUGUCAGCACGCUGCUACUCGGGGUCAUCAAUUUCAAGUUCAGAUGUUGAAUAAUGUGGUUGAGUUCGGAGGCGGGGAGGACGAACCAGAAGAAAUGCACCAUUUAUGGUAGUUGUUGACAACUUGGGUCGAGUUUAAAGGUGAAGUAGGACUGGAUGUUGGUAUUAUGGACGACAAUCGGGCAUGAAGUUUGUAAAAGGGGUUGGGAG
RNAcentral lists this long non-coding RNA (18674 nucleotides) under Triticum aestivum (bread wheat). Its description in RNAcentral is "long non-coding RNA (TAES_LNC028401)". The stretch from base 15118 to 15251 matches the Rfam family "MIR1120/MIR1122 microRNA precursor family". The record is from RNAcentral. Lineage: Eukaryota; Viridiplantae; Streptophyta; Magnoliopsida; Poales; Poaceae.